This 1247-nucleotide ribosomal RNA is filed under the name Staphylococcus aureus. RNAcentral describes it as "partial 23S ribosomal RNA". It matches the Rfam family "Bacterial large subunit ribosomal RNA", at positions 283 to 1530 of the family's 2925-position model. Lineage: Bacteria; Bacillati; Bacillota; Bacilli; Caryophanales; Staphylococcaceae. The record is from RNAcentral.
GCUUGCUUGUUGGGGUUGUAGGACACUCUAUACGGAGUUACAAAGGACGACAUUAGACGAAUCAUCUGGAAAGAUGAAUCAAAGAAGGUAAUAAUCCUGUAGUCGAAAAUGUUGUCUCUCUUGAGUGGAUCCUGAGUACGACGGAGCACGUGAAAUUCCGUCGGAAUCUGGGAGGACCAUCUCCUAAGGCUAAAUACUCUCUAGUGACCGAUAGUGAACCAGUACCGUGAGGGAAAGGUGAAAAGCACCCCGGAAGGGGAGUGAAAUAGAACCUGAAACCGUGUGCUUACAAGUAGUCAGAGCCCGUUAAUGGGUGAUGGCGUGCCUUUUGUAGAAUGAACCGGCGAGUUACGAUUUGAUGCAAGGUUAAGCAGUAAAUGUGGAGCCGUAGCGAAAGCGAGUCUGAAUAGGGCGUUUAGUAUUUGGUCGUAGACCCGAAACCAGGUGAUCUACCCUUGGUCAGGUUGAAGUUCAGGUAACACUGAAUGGAGGACCGAACCGACUUACGUUGAAAAGUGAGCGGAUGAACUGAGGGUAGCGGAGAAAUUCCAAUCGAACCUGGAGAUAGCUGGUUCUCUCCGAAAUAGCUUUAGGGCUAGCCUCAAGUGAUGAUUAUUGGAGGUAGAGCACUGUUUGGACGAGGGGCCCCUCUCGGGUUACCGAAUUCAGACAAACUCCGAAUGCCAAUUAAUUUAACUUGGGAGUCAGAACAUGGGUGAUAAGGUCCGUGUUCGAAAGGGAAACAGCCCAGACCACCAGCUAAGGUCCCAAAAUAUAUGUUAAGUGGAAAAGGAUGUGGCGUUGCCCAGACAACUAGGAUGUUGGCUUAGAAGCAGCCAUCAUUUAAAGAGUGCGUAAUAGCUCACUAGUCGAGUGACACUGCGCCGAAAAUGUACCGGGGCUAAACAUAUUACCGAAGCUGUGGAUUGUCCUUUGGACAAUGGUAGGAGAGCGUUCUAAGGGCGUUGAAGCAUGAUCGUAAGGACAUGUGGAGCGCUUAGAAGUGAGAAUGCCGGUGUGAGUAGCGAAAGACGGGUGAGAAUCCCGUCCACCGAUUGACUAAGGUUUCCAGAGGAAGGCUCGUCCGCUCUGGGUUAGUCGGGUCCUAAGCUGAGGCCGACAGGCGUAGGCGAUGGAUAACAGGUUGAUAUUCCUGUACCACCUAUAAUCGUUUUAAUCGAUGGGGGGACGCAGUAGGAUAGGCGAAGCGUGCGAUUGGAUUGCACGUCUAAGCAGUAAGGCUGAGU